UUGAACGCUGGCGGCAUGCCUUACACAUGCAAGUCGAACGGUAACAGCUCUUCGGAGGCUGACGAGUGGCGAACGGGUGAGUAAUACAUCGGAACGUGCCCGAUCGUGGGGGAUAACGGAGCGAAAGCUUUGCUAAUACCGCAUACGAUCUACGGAUGAAAGCAGGGGACCCUCGGGCCUUGCGCGAACGGAGCGGCCGAUGGCAGAUUAGGUAGUUGGUGGGAUAAAAGCUUACCAAGCCGACGAUCUGUAGCUGGUCUGAGAGGACGACCAGCCACACUGGGACUGAGACACGGCCCAGACUCCUACGGGAGGCAGCAGUGGGGAAUUUUGGACAAUGGGCGAAAGCCUGAUCCAGCCAUGCCGCGUGCAGGAUGAAGGCCUUCGGGUUGUAAACUGCUUUUGUACGGAACGAAAAAGUCUUCUCUAAUACAGGGGGCGAAUGACGGUACCGUAAGAAUAAGCACCGGCUAACUACGU
Molecule: ribosomal RNA, 480 nt
Filed under: uncultured bacterium
Lineage: Bacteria
Description: bacterial SSU rRNA
Rfam family: Bacterial small subunit ribosomal RNA
Source: RNAcentral